RNAcentral lists this ribosomal RNA (510 nucleotides) under Lysinibacillus sphaericus. Its description in RNAcentral is "bacterial SSU rRNA". It matches the Rfam family "Bacterial small subunit ribosomal RNA", at positions 845 to 1354 of the family's 1533-position model. Lineage: Bacteria; Bacillati; Bacillota; Bacilli; Caryophanales; Bacillaceae. The record is from RNAcentral.
GCUGCAGCUAACGCAUUAAGCACUCCGCCUGGGGAGUACGGUCGCAAGACUGAAACUCAAAGGAAUUGACGGGGGCCCGCACAAGCGGUGGAGCAUGUGGUUUAAUUCGAAGCAACGCGAAGAACCUUACCAGGUCUUGACAUCCCGUUGACCACUGUAGAGAUAUGGUUUUCCCUUCGGGGACAACGGUGACAGGUGGUGCAUGGUUGUCGUCAGCUCGUGUCGUGAGAUGUUGGGUUAAGUCCCGCAACGAGCGCAACCCUUGAUCUUAGUUGCCAUCAUUUAGUUGGGCACUCUAAGGUGACUGCCGGUGACAAACCGGAGGAAGGUGGGGAUGACGUCAAAUCAUCAUGCCCCUUAUGACCUGGGCUACACACGUGCUACAAUGGACGAUACAAACGGUUGCCAACUCGCGAGAGGGAGCUAAUCCGAUAAAGUCGUUCUCAGUUCGGAUUGUAGGCUGCAACUCGCCUACAUGAAGCCGGAAUCGCUAGUAAUCGCGGAUCAGCA